AUCUACGUUAGCAGUUCUAUCACUUCAUGGAUGUCGACAUGUAACGAGACUGCGCCAUAGUUGAGGUGGAUGAACUACGCCAACAACGUGAUUAGAAAAUGAUACUUGCCACGUGAUUUAAACGGUUUGUUUGGAAACAUCCCUGGUCGUUAUAAAGCGUAAAAAGGAUUGGGAAAAAAUGGUUUUACAGUAAACACAGUCGUUAGUACACGCGUUCACACCUAGGCGACCCGGGUUCAAUUCCCGUUCCCGAAAGCAUGUGGGUUUGGCUGUUGGCAACCAUACUGGACUGAUGGGGUUUCCUCCGGAUACCCCGGCUUCUUCCCAAAGCACAAGGACCAAACCAAAAUUGAAUAAAAAACAGCUGGAAAUUGCAGCUAUGAUUCGAAAUUCGUCCCAAAUUUAGUAAGUCAAAUUCGUUAAUUACGCAGGAGUGUUGGGACAAACGUUUGAGUUUCACAUACUGCAGCCUCGGGUACGAAAGGUUCCAUGAAACUCCGAAAUAUACAUAUAGACACAUGAAAACAUGUAAUUGCGUCUGCGUAACGAGUAACUGAUAUAUUAUUAUUAGAGACAUUUUUAAGUGUCCUUAAUAAUAAGUUAAGGAAUAUGUAGAUAUUUGGAAUAUGUGGAACUCGCCUCAAGACUUAUUGUUUGGUUCACGGGGAAAGAUUCGAGAUCCAGAAGACAUUCCGUUUCAGAGACUACACUAAGUCUUGUAUAGCCCGUUAUGAAGCACAUUGUACACUGCAACUCGGUUUAACGUCUAAUUCGAAAUGCGAGCAAGUAGCUUUGGGGGAUCGGGGGCUCGAACCUGUGAAUCCCUGAGUAAUGGCGCCAGUUUGUCACUACGCCACAAAUCCGCUCUUAAAGAAUGUGGUUGACCACGUCGCUACUACGUGAAGCGUAACGCCUGUCAAGGCGACUUGAAUCGACUGAUCGGCGUGAUGCGUGUGACGCUUAAGUCAACUUUGAGUGAAAUCAUUCAAAACAGCACGGUCGUCAUUUUGCAUCACAGAAGCGUGUUUUCAAACUUGUAUCCAAGCAACCGUUCGAGUCUAGAUAAUGGGCAUUGUUUUAACAAUUGAUACUGGUAAUUAAUUGAUGAACUUUACAUGUAUCCGUUCUACUUGACAUAUACAUGCAGAAAUAUUAAGAUGUUAAUACACUUCAUUUACAUGUUUAA
Long non-coding RNA from Dreissena polymorpha, 1186 nucleotides. RefSeq lists it as uncharacterized. NCBI's taxonomy places the organism in Eukaryota, Metazoa, Mollusca, Bivalvia, Myida, Dreissenidae. The transcript has 2 exons. The record is from RefSeq and is a predicted model, not a curated record.